UACGUAGGGGGCAAGCGUUGUCCGGAUUUAUUGGGCGUAAAGAGCGUGUAGGCGGCUUUACAGGUCCGUUGUGAAAACUCGAGGCUCAACCUCGAGACGCCGGUGGAAACCGUAAGGCUAGAGUCCGGAAGAGGAGAGUGGAAUUCCUGGUGUAGCGGUGAAAUGCGCAGAUAUCAGGAGGAACACCCGUGGCGAAAGCGGCUCUCUGGGACGGUACUGACGUUGAGACGCGAAAGCCAGGGGAGCAAACGGG
RNAcentral lists this ribosomal RNA (253 nucleotides) under uncultured bacterium. RNAcentral describes it as "partial 16S ribosomal RNA". It matches the Rfam family "Bacterial small subunit ribosomal RNA", at positions 524 to 776 of the family's 1533-position model. The record is from RNAcentral.